RNAcentral lists this long non-coding RNA (1719 nucleotides) under Volvox carteri. RNAcentral's name for it is "long non-coding RNA (VCAR_LNC000140)". Lineage: Eukaryota; Viridiplantae; Chlorophyta; Chlorophyceae; Chlamydomonadales; Volvocaceae. The record is from RNAcentral.
AAAUAUCCUUGUUUACGUGGGUAAUCAUGCAGGAUGAUCUUAUGCAUGACUUUCGACGUUGGUGUCCUAGUUUCUAACUUCGUGCUGAACGUUUUCGUGACAUGUGAAUUGGCAUGCAAAACUCUGCACGCAGACAAAGCACUUUUUUAGAAAGUAAAUGCAAGGACAAGUUUGUAAGUAUGUGGCAUCAUGACCGUGAAAUUUGGAGGGCUACGACACCUAUAUCAGUACACAAGCAGAGGCCUGACGAGGACCUUGCACUGAUUGCAACGCUCUAAAGGUUUGUCGUUGCUAUGGCACAAUACCGAUUUCUAAAAUCGCGCGUCUGAUGAUUCUUCGGCAAAAACACGCGGUGAGGGGCUGCGACUGCCGACGCCUCAGCGCAGGGCGCACGGCGGGCGGACAAGGGAGCCCUGCUCUGCCCGGCUGAAUUCGGUGUGUCCCUAUUGAGACAAAAGCCGGGAGGAAGCGCGAUGAGGGCAUUGUAUUGAAAUGUCGGAGGUCUGGAGGAUUGUUGAGAGGGGUUGCAUGGCAAGGCGUUAAGGUGCAUUCAACUGUACACCGGUGCGGCCCGCAAACAGAACCGCAAGACCCGAAGAGCUGUCGAGGCCAGACCCGUUCCAAUCCCCGUACAGCCCCUAACAACCAAAGACGGCCCCCUGCCCCACGCUAAUUGGCGGACCCGAGGCACGGCCAAUGAUCGGGAGCCCAGGAAAAGAGGUCAUAAGAGGGAGUGGGGCUGUCAUAACCGCAAAACAUACCUGGAGGGAACCAUUAUAGAAAGUGAUGCCGCAUGGUUUGGGCGUUUUGGUUCCGACAAUUUGCUAACAUGGAGAGGGUUUGCGGUUAGGUUUGCUAAAAUAGUUACCAGGUCAAUCUGCUUGCUAGUGAAAUUCGGGUGACCCGAUACGAGCGACGGAUGUGUGAUCUGCAUCAUCUGAAGGAAUAGCACUCCAUGCGUGCAUCAUAAUAGCUUUAUAUGUUUUUGAUCGUGCUGCUGGUAGGUCGACGUGAAGCAGGUUUGAAGUUCCCCCAUGAUCGGGAAAGAGCCAAUCAUGUCUGACCCAGUCUCGUCGACCUGUUGCAAGACCGGGGGAGUUUGAACCCUCCGAACGCUUGGAUAUUCGAGAGCAACCCAACAACAAAAUAUUCGGUUGACCCGUCAAUUGCACUUAAGGACUUGACGGAAGCAACGAGAAUGCCUUUUCGGAUCCUUACCUACCAGCACAAACGCUUUCCUGCACCGACAGCAAGACCCAAGCGCGCAACAUCUCUAAUCACAUAAACAGCAAGCGAGCAUAUCCAAAGCCAUCAGAGUUCGGAAACCAUUCAAGUACCCCCUAUCCCCCACGGCUGUUCGCUGGGGUCCUGAAAAUGAGGAAAAGACGACCUCUUAUACGUCUUCCACACGCUCAGUAGCACUUCAUGUCCGGGGACGUAACCCCGUCUGGCUGCAACAAAAAGCAGCAAACCGCGCUUGUACGAACAUCACUUCAUCCUGCGCCCCAACAUACUACGACAGAAAACGUUGUCAUGCAACGUGAAAAACAGCAGUCCAAGAGGGAGAGAAAAACCGUUUCAAAUGCGAAUUUGAUAGCAUCAACAUCGUGCGGUGCAUCCUCCAAUCCUAUCUAGGUCUACGUGCGCCACCUUACUCUUUCCCUUCCGCGGGUUUCUCUCUCCCGACUCUCUUCGUUGGUCUUGGCGGGCUAAGGUACC